Long non-coding RNA from Carassius carassius (crucian carp), 461 nucleotides. RefSeq lists it as uncharacterized. NCBI's taxonomy places the organism in Eukaryota, Metazoa, Chordata, Actinopteri, Cypriniformes, Cyprinidae. The record is from RefSeq and is a predicted model, not a curated record. The transcript has 4 exons.
AUUUUUUUUAGCUGAAAAGAUGUAAAGGAAGCAGUCAUCCCUGUGGUGUUUGUGGAGCGGUAUUCCUUCAGAAAGGGAGAAGACAGAAAGCUGCGGAGGCAGACAUUUUCAGCAGAUUGUUUGCAGAUAAUGCUGUUCUUCUUUUUCAGAAGAUUUUGGUGAGCCAACCCUCACAAACCUUCCUAAAAACUAAAAGAGCUAUUACUGAGUCUCAGCGAAUAUUGCCAUGAUCAGCUCUUCCCAGAAGAUAAGGAAGACCAAGGAAAUGAUUUGCUCAGGAUGAGGAAUGAAGACGGCCAUCUUGUGCUCAAACAAAGACAGAAGUCCUCUGAUGAUCUCAUCAGCCAAAUGAGGGGUUUUGACCAAGUGAUGCUCUUGAAAGGAGUGAAAGAAGAGGAUGUGGUAAAUUGUCUUCAGAGAAAAAGCUUCUCAAAAGGUCUUAAAACAGCUUGAAUAAUGGU